CCUGCGGCGCAUUAGCUAGUUGGUGAGAUAGAAGCUCACCAAGGCGAUGAUGCGUAGCCGGACUGAGAGGUUGAUCGGCCACAUUGGGACUGAGACACUGCCCAGACUCCUACGGGAGGCUGCAGUCAAGAAUCUUCCUCAAUGGGCGAAAGCCUGAAGGAGCGACGCCGCGUGCAUGAAGAAGCUCUUCGGAGUGUAAAAUGCUUUUAUCAGUGAAGAAACAAUGACGGUAACUGAUGAAUAAGGGGCUGCUAACUUCGUGCCAGCAGCAGCGGUAAUACGAAGGCCCCAAGCGUUAUCCGGAUUUAUUGGGCGUAAAGCGUCCGUAGGUGGUUUGUCGCAUCUCCUGUUAAAUCUUGAGGCUUAACCUCGAGUCCGCGGGAGAGAUGGGCAAGCUGGAGACUGGAAGAGGCAAACGGAAUUGCUGGUGUAGGGGUUAAAUCCAUUAAUAUCAGCAAGAACAUCAAAUGCGAAGGCAGUUUGCUCGGACAGUUCUGACACUCAGUGGACGAAAGCGUGGGGAGCGAAUGGGAUUAGAUACCCCAGUAGUCCACGCCGUAAACGAUGGAUACUAAGCAUUGGAAGUAUCGACCCUCUCAGUGCUGUUAAUUUAAGGUAACCCGUUAAGUAUCCCGCCUGGGGAGUACGGCCGCAAGGCUAAAACUCAAAGGAAUAGACGGGGACCCGCACAAGCGGUGGAGCAUGUGGUUUAAUUCGAUGAUACGCGAGGAACCUUACCCGGGUUUGAAUUGCUGAAUUUGCAUUUGGAGACAUUUGCUUCCCUUUUGGGUUUCAGUGAAGGUGCUGCAUGGUUGUCGUCAGCUCGUGCCGUGAGGUGUCGGCUUAAGUGCCAUAACGAGCGCAACCCUUGCCGUUAGUUGCCAUCGGGUCAUGCCGGGCACUCUAUUGGGACUGCCAUCGUAAGAUGUGAGGAAGGUGGGGAGGACGUCAAAUCAGCACGGCCCUUAUGUCCGGGGCGACACACGUGUUACAAUGGGAGGUACAGAGGGCAGCUAUCCGGUGACGGAAUGCUAAUCUCCAAAACCUUUCUCAGUUCGGAUUGGAGUCUGCAACUCGACUCCAUGAAGGUGGAUUCGCUAGUAAUCGCGCAUCAGCCAUGGCGCGGUGAAUACGUUCCCGGGCCUUGCACUCACCGCCCGUCA
Molecule: ribosomal RNA, 1163 nt
Filed under: uncultured bacterium
Lineage: Bacteria
Description: bacterial SSU rRNA
Rfam family: Bacterial small subunit ribosomal RNA
Source: RNAcentral